This 303-nucleotide ribosomal RNA is filed under the name uncultured bacterium. Its description in RNAcentral is "partial 16S ribosomal RNA". It matches the Rfam family "Bacterial small subunit ribosomal RNA", at positions 507 to 807 of the family's 1533-position model. The record is from RNAcentral.
AGCAGUAGCCGCGGUAAUACGAAGGGUGCAAGCGUUACUCGGAAUUACUGGGCGUAAAGCGUGCGUAGGUGGUGGUUUAAGUCCGUUGUGAAAGCCCUGGGCUCAACCUGGGAAUUGCAGUGGAUACUGGAUCACUAGAGUGUGGUAGAGGAUAGUGGAAUUUCCGGUGUAGCAGUGAAAUGCGUAGAGAUCGGAAGGAACAUCUGUGGCGAAGGCGACCAUCUGGGCCAACACUGACACUGAGGCACGAAAGCGUGGGGAGCAAACAGGAUUAGAUACCCCGGUAGUCCCUGUCUCUUAUAC